ACGCUCGACACCUACUGGAGGCAGCAGUGGGGAAUAUUGCACAAUGGGGGAAACCCUGAUGCAGCGACGCCGCGUGAGCGAAGAAGUAUCUCGGUAUGUAAAGCUCUAUCAGCAGGGAAGAAAAUGACGGUACCUGACUAAGAAGCACCGGCUAAAUACGUGCCAGCAGCUGCGGUAAUCUGAGGCGGGCUGGCAAGGC
Molecule: ribosomal RNA, 199 nt
Filed under: uncultured bacterium
Lineage: Bacteria
Description: partial 16S ribosomal RNA
Rfam family: Bacterial small subunit ribosomal RNA
Source: RNAcentral